RNAcentral lists this ribosomal RNA (253 nucleotides) under uncultured bacterium. Its description in RNAcentral is "partial 16S ribosomal RNA". It matches the Rfam family "Bacterial small subunit ribosomal RNA", at positions 524 to 776 of the family's 1533-position model. The record is from RNAcentral.
UACAGAGGGGGCAAGCGUUGUUCGGAAUUACUGAGCGUAAAGGGCGUGCAGGCGGUUUGCUAAGUCUAGGGUGAAAGCUCCCGGCUUAACUGGGAGAGGUCCUUGGAUACUGGCAGACUUGAGGAGGGUAGAGGAGAGUGGAAUUCCCGGUGUAGCGGUGAAAUGCGUAGAUAUCUGGAGGAACACCGGUGGCGAGGGCGGCAUCCUGGACCGGCAUUGACGCUGAGGCGCGAAAGCCAGGGGAGCAAACGGG